GGCAAAGAUAAACAAAACCUCGCUGAUAUCCAGAACAGCCCCUCUGCAUGUAUAAUUCAGGCUCAGAACACACAACCAGUUUGUGAUGUGUUAAAGACUUCUGCCAGUGGACUCCCACGUUUCCAUAUCCUGCAGGUAUAUAGUGCUGGAAGGUAUCUGCCUACAAUCAACUAUAUUUAUCUAUGGCUAAAUAUAAGAUUUAUAAUUGGGAAUGUGGAUUUAUGUAAUCAUCCUAGUGGUCUUCUCAUAAGCCAUUGCAAGUUUUUUGCUGAACAGGUGUUCAAUUUCUCCAUUUGUAUUCCAUGGUACAUUGGAACAAAUUGCCACAAAAUGAGUGCCUGAAACUUCAAAGGAUAAGAACUUCUUAGUAGGAAUAUAGUAAAAUAGAUUUGGUUGUCAUUGUCAUUUGGACUUCAGUACAUCAGUACCUCUGGACAUCAGAAUGAGAGGGAUAUGUUCUCCACCUCCUCCCCCUCCUCCCCCUCCUCCCUCUCCUCCCCCUCCCCC
RNAcentral lists this long non-coding RNA (507 nucleotides) under Anser cygnoides (Swan goose). RNAcentral's name for it is "lncRNA (ENSACDG00005014147.1)". Lineage: Eukaryota; Metazoa; Chordata; Aves; Anseriformes; Anatidae. The record is from RNAcentral.